UUAGGAAUCUUCCCCAAUGGGCGAAAGCCUGAGGGAGCGAUACCGCUUGAAGGACGAAGCCCCUCGGGGUGUAAACUUCUGACCUCGGGACGAUCAUGACGGUACCGAGGUAAUAGCACCGGCUAACUCCGCGCCAGCAGCCGCGGUAAUACGGAGGGUGCGAGCGUUACCCGGUUUUACUGGGUGUAAAGGGCGUGUAGGCGGUUUCUCAAGUCCGAGGCUAAGGACCAAGGCUAAACGCCGGGUAUG
RNAcentral lists this ribosomal RNA (249 nucleotides) under uncultured Meiothermus sp. Its description in RNAcentral is "partial 16S ribosomal RNA". It matches the Rfam family "Bacterial small subunit ribosomal RNA", at positions 355 to 623 of the family's 1533-position model. Lineage: Bacteria; Thermotogati; Deinococcota; Deinococci; Thermales; Thermaceae. The record is from RNAcentral.